CUGCAGCUCUUCAGCAGGCCCUCCCGAGGUCCAGGUCGGAGGCCCUGAGAGGCAGACGUGGCCGCAGUUUGUCCAGCUCCCUCCCACUCUGGGUUCUGCUCUUCUUCCCAAGUGCAGGUACAGCCAACCUACAGCAUCCACGGGCUCCCCCGCCACCACCCCGGGGGCAAAGCCAGCAGCUCUUCACAGAUGCUUCAACAGCUCCCUCGGCUGCAGAAAUUCUAAUCGCUGCAUCACUCAUAGUGGUUCUGCCCUUCUGAUGAGACUCUCAUACAGCAUCCAAGUGAGAUACCGAGAGAGGAGGUCCACCGCCCUGGGAGCUCCAUGGUACAGAGAUGGGGGCAGGAGGGAACAGCCAAGGAGACCGAGAGCCACCAGUGAGACAGAAGGAAACCCUGAGCACUCGUGGCUCAAGGCGAAGGAGGAACGUCAGGAGGAGCCUGAGCUUGACCAUGUCUGCUGAGAUGAGUUUGGAGAGCGGACUGCCGUGCCUGAAGACAGAGAGCUUCCAGAAAACAGACGCAACAUACCAUCUGCCUUCAUUUCAGGGAAGAGAAAUCCCCAGGACAGAGAAGGGGAAAGUCUCAUCUCAUGAAAAGACCUCUUCCUGGGACGCUUGUCUUUUCAGUUCAUAUCCACAUAUCCCACAGCCUCCCCUCCUCCAAGAUGUGUCCUCAGAAUUCCACUGCUAUGCUCCGCUCGUGUCCUGCCUGUGU
Molecule: long non-coding RNA, 716 nt
Organism: Bos taurus (domestic cattle)
Lineage: Eukaryota; Metazoa; Chordata; Mammalia; Artiodactyla; Bovidae
Source: Ensembl